AUUGAACGCUGGCGGCAUGCUUUACACAUGCAAGUCGAACGGUAACAGGGUGCUUGCACCGCUGACGAGUGGCGAACGGGUGAGUAAUGCGUCGGAACGUGCCGAGUAGUGGGGGAUAACGCAUCGAAAGGUGUGCUAAUACCGCAUACGUACUGAGGUAGAAAGUGGGGGACCUUCGGGCCUCACGCUAUUCGAGCGGCCGACGUCUGAUUAGCUAGUUGGUGAGGUAAAGGCUCACCAAGGCGACGAUCAGUAGCGGGUCUGAGAGGAUGGUCCGCCACACUGGGACUGAGACACGGCCCAGACUCCUACGGGAGGCAGCAGUGGGGAAUUUUGGACAAUGGGCGCAAGCCUGAUCCAGCCAUGCCGCGUGUCUGAAGAAGGCCUUCGGGUUGUAAAGGACUUUUGUCCGGGAGCAAAUACCCAGUGCUAAUAACGCUGGGGGCUGAGAGUACCGGAAGAAUAAGCACCGGCUAACAACGUGCCAGCCGCCGCGGUAA
Molecule: ribosomal RNA, 500 nt
Filed under: uncultured bacterium
Lineage: Bacteria
Description: partial 16S ribosomal RNA
Rfam family: Bacterial small subunit ribosomal RNA
Source: RNAcentral